This is an RNA transcript of Canis lupus familiaris (dog), 4387 nucleotides long. RefSeq lists it as uncharacterized. The record is from RefSeq and is a predicted model, not a curated record. The transcript has 3 exons. NCBI's taxonomy places the organism in Eukaryota, Metazoa, Chordata, Mammalia, Carnivora, Canidae.
GACCGAGUAAAUUAAAGACCUCAGCCGGGGCGAGCAUCUUCAUUCUCUCGCCCAGUCAUUGGGGAGCGAGUUCCGAAGAGAGGGGCGGCGGCAGGCAGCUUCCCCUUCUGCUACGGGGGCAUCGCCCGCUUGCCUCGACCUGCUGGCAGCUGGGUUUGCCCCGGAAAUGCAUUUUCCUCGUUUUGCAAAAACCUGGCCCCGAUUUUAAUUUCACCAUGGGUAGAAGGGUAGAGGUUUCCACUUAAAAGUCCGAAACAAAACUAGACGAAAGUUAAGUGGAGACCGCUGUGGAUCUUCAUUCUUGCCUCUGUUUUUAAGAAAGUGGAGUCGCACACCACCUUAUUUCUUUCCUCCCCCCCGAAAAAAAAAACUGGCUGAAGAAGACACCCUCGUUUUUCUGCGUCUUUUCCAACGCAUCCCUGCCUGACUCGGGUGUCUACUGGAGGCCACAGUAGGGAGAAGGGCAGAGAGGCCUGGAAAAAUGAAAUAAGAAUUUUAACAAUAGAUAUGACCAACGAAACUUGGACCAACUCAUUCUGCAAAAGGGAGCCAGACCAAGGGAGAGAAAUUCGCUAGUUUCUCAGGGGUCACUUCCCCUCCUGCCUAGUUAAAUCUGGCUCUGUUCUUUUUUUUUUUUCUAGGACCAUGGUAUCUCCCUUCCCAAUGUUUUAUUCCAUUCCUAGUUGCUUCCCUUUGGACAAGAAGCAUGUGGGAAGAAUACUAGCUAUUUCCAUUAUUUUAAUAUCCAAUAUUCUCCUCUAGUAUUUUCACUGAGAAUUACUACUGCUGCUAUGCUUGUUCACACUGAUGUUCUGUGCUUUGGAAAUAUUCCUCCCCGCUCCCCCAAAUUUGGCGAGAGUGAGAUCCCUUCCUCCCCCCCAUCAGGAUAAUAAAAUGAGAAAUGGAAGUGGGAGCAUCAUUCUAGGGGCCCAGCUGAGAUCUCAAUGCUGGAGAUUUGCAAGCUCCCAAAGAGCCGAGAAGGUGGUAAGGAAUACAAAGGAGCAUCUCUGCUCUUGCCCCUCCAAUUUAGAGAGUCCUCCAAGGAGGAGGAGGAUAAGGAUCUUGAACUGAGAGAGAACCUGGAGCCACCUCCUACCCCGUGGUCCACAAUGAGCCUGAGAGCUCCAACCAUAUCUGCAGCCCAGAACCUGGGCUCCGGUGUAGUCAGCCUGUCCACACAGCCCCCAAAAGAUGUGGGGGAAAGAAUACUGAAUCCCAGGGCUCUGGCCCAGUUUGAUAGAGACUCAGGCUAAUACCUCCAGGUCUGGCUGUCUGGAUACUCCCUCCCUCAACUGGAGGGUGCAGUGGAAAUUUGGGAACCCACUGCUCUCGGGAGCUCUGGAAAGACAAAUUUUCUUUGGCAAAGGGAACGGUGUCGCGCUGUCGACACAGCAGACUAUUUUUCUUGUUCCCUCACGAGGGUGGGGGGAGAGAAAAGAAAGCGAGAAAGAAAGGGAAAUUAAAUCCACACGUGUUAAGCUUGCUCAAAGGGCCGGAUUCAAAACCAGAGACGAAACCGCGACUCCAGUUCUGGCUGCCCGUGGGCCUCCUUCCAGCCAGCCUGGGCCUCACAGAGCAAGACGUCCACACCGGCGAGAACUCCAUCUAAUGUUUCAUAAAGCGCUUUCUUUAAGGGGGGAAGGGACAUGGUUCCUGUCUGCGCUGCAGGGAGUCAGAACUCGGUCUAUUUGCAGCGAAGCAAACAAAGGGGAGAGCACUCCCCACCCCACCCCCCUUUAGGAAAGUCCAGCUUGACAUCUCCUAGUCAAGUCGAUGAUUCAGGUAACAACUUUAUAGGCAAAAUAAGCCCGGCCAGUGAUUUUGGAAAUUUGUAAGGUCUGACCAAGCUUUCGGACUUGGACAUGCCUGGGUCAAAGAGAACCUAAAAAGCACUUCUACGGACGCUGGAAUUGUCAGUUUAAUCUGGGUGGCUACGCCUCGUAUCCCUCGCUUCUGUCUUCCGAGGAGAAACUGGCCAGGACCAUGGCUACAGGCCCCAGCUGCGGAGGAGCUCUGCAGGGGUGCUGGGAGGUAGGGGUGGAGGACAGAGUGGCCUCCCCACCCCCAGCUGUGAGUGAAAACUCUAGUAAUGACUUUGAGGAGGUGAAGGGACACGUGUGGGGGUGCAGAUGACGAGGGCGGCCAGACCCCAAACUAGAAGGAUCCAUCACCAGAACGAUUGCUUGGUCAAGACCUCUAAUUUUUCUUCCCUUUCAGCCCGGGGCCUUGAGCACCGCAGCCAGUACCCCCACACCACACCCCCAUUCUGGGCCUCCUAGAGCUGGGUUUCUGGCCUUUGGAGGCGAUCCCGACAGAAGGGUCCAGAAGCGGAGACCCCAGACGCCCAGCUGCCAUGCACACACACACCCGGAAAACCCUGGGGUGAAACUGAGGUUUGUCUUGGGGUGCAACUGACAGGCUAGUGGCAAAGAAAAGUUCCUGGUGACCAUUUCUGCGCGGUGGGGGGUUGGGGAGGCUCCUGGUCACCAUGGCAACCCAGGAGUCCCUUGAAUGCUCUCAACAAGGGGGCACCCCAGGACCACUGAGCUUUCCUGGAAUAGUGAGUAGGGCCUUCUGAGGCCUGCAAGGCUCUUCCUCCUGUGGCUCUGGGCUUUCCAGAGCCUCCCGUGUGGGUUCAACGCACCAGGGACUGACAAACGCCCCAUCUUUGAAACAGAGGAGAAAAUCGAGAUUUAGUCUCUGCUGGAUGGGUUCAGAUCUGGAGCAAAAGCCCCCACUUGGAUUUGCCCGCCAGUGGUGACCUCAGAGGCCCAGGCUCAGGCAGUGGGAGGGAUGCUUUCACCCAAGCCCGAACUCCAAAAUCCCAGCCGGGUCUCUUCACACAUACUAUUCACCCCAAUAGGCUUGGCUUUCAAGGCUCCCUGCAUUGGUUCAAACAACCCUUUUGCCUGCCUGGAUUAACUUCUAAAUGGAACAGUCAGGAAGGAGAAAUUGUGGCUUUCACGUCUACAAGUCCUUACUGAAAGAAAGAAUACAUUAUACUCCUUUUACAGAAAACAUUUUCCAUUGUGGAUAUAAUAUAAACGGCAUUAAAAUAGUAUGUUGGGGUUCUCUUACUUUCUUCUUGAACCUGUAGGGCGAACUGCCCCUCUUUUUUCUGGAGGUGGGCAGUGCACCAUACAGGCUGACUUUUCUGUUUCCAUUUUGGAGGCAGCAAGCUCCGGUAAAGAGCCAGGGCACUGACCAACUUAGGAGCCAUCGAGGGAGCCAGAGAGAAAACGGGCCUCAGAGAGAAGGGAUCCAGGCCUGUGUGCAGGCUGAGACUUCUCUGGCUGCAGGUUGGACAAGACCAGUUCAGGGGAAGAAGGACGUGCGGGUUUUGCAGCAGCCAAGAGAGAAGCCCAUCUCCAGACUCUAAGCUGCUGAGGACAGAGAGCGUGGCGCCCAUCCCAUUUACACAGUCGAUGCUAGAGAGAUACUUAUUGAACAAAGUAUAUGAAGCUCUUAAACAGCUGGACUCAGAGUCAAAGAUGUGAAGACAGAGGACAUAUCAGGAAUCAAUAAAGGGCACAGGACUACCUGCUCCAGACAAUAAAACAGGAUAGAAGUCUAAACAGUGAUACGUUUGGACGGAGAAAUAAAACCUGUAGCACAGUUUUGGCUUUCUGAGCCUUGAAGCCCUGAAACAGUUCCUCUCUCCCUGCCCCAAGUGCCCCCCAGCCCUGGACCUCCCCUCUCUUGUCCUGUGGACCUUCCUUUUGUCCACCCCUCUAUCUGGUCCCAGGAGCCUGGAGAAGGAGCCAGGAGAUUAGUGAAAGUGGUAUUUUUAUAGGCUGAUAAAAACUGUGCUUAUCUAGAAAGCUUUGUCCCAUCUCCCCCCAGUCUCCCUAAUUGGUCAUUUGCCCAGUGUCCUCUCCACCCUCCCGGCCUCCUUGCCUCUGCUCUUUUCCCCACCGCCCUUCCCUCCAGCAAGGGCUGCCCCACAGGAAACCUUUGCUGGGAGGAUUUGUGGGAUGGAGGGGGAGGGGUGGUGUUGGGGGAGGGGUGCGGACUUCUCCGAGUGGGUUUGCUGCGCCACUCUUUAAUGAUGCCAAAUAUAUUAAAUUCUAUACUCUAGCAGCCUCUUAAAUCCGUUUAUGGCCCAUGCUAGACCCUGGGCUAUAAUAAUAAUAAAAAUAAAAGAAAGGAUUUAUGUAGCCAGGGUGUGGACUCGUCACUGGGAGAAAAGAAAGAAUUGUUUCUAGCUGAUCUCACUGGCCUGUCGCCCACCUCCUGACCUCCUGUUUCCCUGGGGGUGGGGGUGGGGGUCCCGGGGUCAGGAAGGGAGAGGACCAAGUUCCUCCUGGGACAGAGUUAGGAAGCUGCAGAAGAUGUCCACUUAAAAGGAGCAUUUGCUGGGCUUUCUCAAACUCAUGUUUCCAGACCC